Molecule: long non-coding RNA, 1054 nt
Organism: Brassica napus (rape)
Lineage: Eukaryota; Viridiplantae; Streptophyta; Magnoliopsida; Brassicales; Brassicaceae
Exons: 2
Source: RefSeq, a predicted model, not a curated record
CAACACAAUAAUAACACAAGGUUCUCUCCAUAGCAGCAUGACACAUCAGAUUUUUAAAUGUCUGAGAGAUUGACAUGUCAUUAACUGAAAAAGUUGUAAAGCCAAUGAAAAUAUUUUGUUUCUCCAGGUCAUAUUUGUUUUGUCUUGUGCUUAUAGAAAAUCUUAAGGACGUCGGGGAUUUUGACAGUCGCCGCCUCCAAAUCAUACGCCGCCUUUGUACAACUUCUUAGCUUGGUUUAUCAAUUUUCUAGAUUCCCAAUCUCGACAGCUCCGACUCCAAAUCAUACGCCGACUCGAAGAUAACGUAAACCCCCUUGCUCUCAACGAAGCUUGGCGUGGAUCUCGACAAAAACGAUGGAAGCUCCGAUUUCCAGACCUGGGUUGUACACGACAGAAGAAAAAGCCGUCCUUUAGAGACUUCCUCUGUCGAAAGCUCUGAUUGUAGAGAUUCCUUUAAAGUACCCAUCGUUUAUAGAUUAAGAAAGUUUGGCCCUUGAUCUUGAUUUUAGGAUAUAAGUGUAUUGCUGGAAGUUGCUUUCAUCAUUCAUCAUUGAUGAUCGGGAUCGAGUAUACCGUAGAGUGAAAGGCGUGUUUGUACAGUUUCACCUCUCCCGGAGAUCCAAUGUACCCGACAAGGGCUGUUCGUCAUGCAGCCUGGGACGCUUUGGAUUCCCUCUUUCCGGUGAGGCGUUACCCGAGGCAUCUCAUCAGUCUAUUUUUCAGGCUGCUGUAUCCAUGGUACUGGCCAUCAUCGUGCUGGAACUUUGUGGUUUCUUGCAUUAAGGUGGUACUCUAUUCCAUCGUAAGGCUCAUCUUUUCACGCCAAGAAAAGCCAAGGCAGAGCUGAAUAGCUUCUACAUAUGAUUGAAGCUCGCUGCAGGAAUCCAAUCCUUGUGUAUAGAAUGUGGUUUUGAUCACAAUGAGGCACACCAAGAGAACUUUACAUAAGCCUCUCUGGUCACUUUCCUAUCCUCAGUAACCUUAUAACUCAUAUUACAAAUUGUAUUGUCAUGACUGGACACAACUUUUCGAGUGAAUACAUACAUAAAAAGUA